Long non-coding RNA from Bactrocera latifrons, 160 nucleotides. RefSeq lists it as uncharacterized. NCBI's taxonomy places the organism in Eukaryota, Metazoa, Arthropoda, Insecta, Diptera, Tephritidae. The record is from RefSeq and is a predicted model, not a curated record. The transcript has 3 exons.
CUUUCGUAGUACAUAGUUGCAUUUGCGUUUAAUUUCAUCUUUUGAAAAUGGAGUAUGGCGAAAAAAUCGAAUUAAUUAAAGGUAUUGUGAAGUGUAUGGAGGAAGCUAUACAAAUUGAUUCAGACGAUAAACUUAUUAAUAUAUGUGAUAGAGUGGCCCA